GAGAGAGAGAGAGAGAGAGAGAGAGAGAGAGAGCGCAUGUAAGAUUUAAAGAGGAAAUAAAAGACAAAUUACAAACAGUAAUGGAAGAGUAAUAAGAGUAUUAACCUGCAUGGUGUGAAAGUACAUGUACAUGUAAAUGAAUGAACACCCUUCGUGCACCAAACAGAUAGAACAGAGAAAACAAAGGACAGAAAGGAGCUCAGCAGUUCAAGGAGGAAUAGAAGGAGGUGGAGGAAAUAAAUAGAGAACAGUGAGAGAGAAUGAGCUGGAGAGAGAGAGAGAGAGAGAGGGAGAGAAAGAAAGACAAAAACAUAGAGGGUACAUGGUAUACAGGUGAAAUAUGUACUAAUAUAAUAAAACAAACAGAUCACUUUUGUAUCAGAAAAUUGCUAUCAGUAUUGAAAAUUAAAUCUAAAUUAGGUAAUUAGAAGAGAAGGGAAGAGAAAGGAGAGAGAAAGAUAACAAGAAAAAAAAGUUUGUCACUAGGGUUAUAGCGACAAGUAGAACUAAAUGGGGAAGAACAAAUCAUGCAAAACAUUAUCCAUAAUCACACACACAGACAGGCUCUUUUACAGGAAAUGAGGCAGAGCAAAGACAGCUAUCUAUUGUUUAUGAAAAGCUUCUAAAACCAGUCAAGGAACGUUUACUCGCCAUUCGGUCGGCUAUUCACGUACCGGGUGAAAUAUAUCAAACCAUCUGUAGCAAAGCAUCAAUUAACUAUGAAUUAAUAGGACAAUGCUGGGAGCUGCGGUGUCGUUAGGCUCUACGCCGCCCAUCAUGGGGCUGAGCAUCCUGAAACGCAAGAAGGGGGACCUACAGCGCACCCUUUCUACCGGUAGUGGCAUCCUUAAACUCAAGGCUCUUGAAGACGCCAAUAGCGCCCUUAAGGACGAGCUACAAAAGGUCCAAGAGGACUCGAAAUCCGCCACUCAGAGAUUGGUAAGUUUGUCCGAGGUCAAGCUCGGCUGUUUUUUGUUUUUCUCUGUAGGUAUAGCACGAGUUUCAUUUCCAUCCUGCCCUCUAGGGAGCUGUGUCAAAUUGCCAAUGAAAUAUCAUCUGCUGAGAGGCAGAAGGAUGUUAUAUAUUAAUUUAAAAGUUCUAAGUUAGUGCCCUUCUGUCUUGUAGCAAACGAUCUAUUGGAACACGAUUUUUUUUUGUUUGUAUGUUUUUUUUGUUUUUUGUUUGUUUUUGUUCUCUUAAAAAAAAAUAAAGAGCUGAAAUUGACUUUUAGUUGCCAUAAGAAGGAGAGAUGUGUCUAUGAGCCUGCUACCUAUAAUGUAAUAUUGAAUGUUCAUUCCAAAUCAGAGUAGUUAAUGGAUGUGAAAGUGAAUGAAGCGUACAAAUGCCUGAACAUUUCCCCCCCUGCUAAGAUUGCCAGACUUGAUAUGCAUAGAUAUUUAUUUGUGUUAAAGCAUGAUAUAGUGUGGUCACUGUGGUGGGAGUGUGAUAGGAGAUGAGUCGUCAACAAUUCAAGUACGUCCUGAUUAGAAUCCUGUCUGGUAGGCUGCUAUCCCUUAUUGGGCUUGAGAGGGAGGCAGACAUCAUUACCAUUUGAUUCUUGAUUGAGGUUCCAUGUGGGUUGAGAUGGUAUGGGACUUUAUAGUGGUGGUGGUUAUUUUACCUGACUGCUAAGAAAGCAUGAAUGCUGACGGCUUAAGGUCCUCUCUGAGAGACCUGGCUAUGAGGAUUAAUGCCUUACCAUCGCCUUGGUUUUAAACCGGGGUCACCGGAAUACGAGACCACUUCUCUACCGACUGAGCUAUCACGCCUUCUCUCCUUAGUAGCGAUGUACAAUGUAAACUGUAGCUGCACUUAUUUGGUUGUUUAUUUGCAUUUGUGGUCUUUCCAGAGGUAAAUUUUGUUUCAACCCAAAGGUUUAAAAGUUCAAAUUCUUGUGGCAGUGAGUACGUACCCCUCCUCAUAAAGAUAUCAUUUUAGUCCUUUCAGCUCAUGAGCCAAAGUGAACAGAACACUCUAGACAGUCAGUUGAUAGGACUGCGAAUGCAUAGCUAGUGACUGACUACUCAAUGAAGCUAUGGAAUCAAAACGUGUCUGCUGCCCUCUCCCUGCCAGACUAAACCACUUGUUAGCUUCCCACUUGCUGAAUGUCGAUCUUGCUCUGCAGAUUUUCAGCAUUGCUGUAGGUUUGCUUAUGUCCUCUUUUGUAUAUCAAGAAAGGCUUCUCUGUUUAUGGUUCCAGAAUGUUUUAACCUUUGCAGUUCGGUACUACAACUUGUAAGCAACCUUGAAUUCAAAUCAGUUGAAGCGCAAUAAUUUUUCUCUUUGUAGCAUUUGUGUUGUCUAUAGUAGAUAUGAACAUGUUAAAAGGAUGAUUUUUGGUAUUUUAUGAUUAAAAGUAUGUAAUGGAAGUAAAAGACGGUUUCAUGAAAAAGAGAUUAAUUUAAUGAAUGAAUCCAUACAAAUCAUAGAAAAGGUAAGGAGAAAGAAAACGAGAGAGAGAGAGAGAGAGAUACAAUACAAUACAAUUGUUUAUUUAGUUCGUAUUUAUAGCUGAAAUUGCUUAUCUGAAACGUGAAUAAUUUGACUUGCUAUAUGGAUGCGACCUUAGAGAAAAUAGCAUUGCAUAUAUGCACAUAUUCUAGCAAUCUUUAAAGGCUCGUGCAGCCUUGACAAGGAGAGAGAGAGAGAGAGAGAGAGAGAGAGAGAGA
This 2669-nucleotide long non-coding RNA is filed under the name Strongylocentrotus purpuratus (purple sea urchin). RNAcentral describes it as "uncharacterized LOC115926654". The record is from RNAcentral. Lineage: Eukaryota; Metazoa; Echinodermata; Echinoidea; Camarodonta; Strongylocentrotidae.